RNAcentral lists this ribosomal RNA (431 nucleotides) under uncultured bacterium. RNAcentral's name for it is "partial 16S ribosomal RNA". It matches the Rfam family "Bacterial small subunit ribosomal RNA", at positions 29 to 505 of the family's 1533-position model. The record is from RNAcentral.
AGCGAACGCUGGCGGCAGGCCUAACACAUGCAAGUCGAACGAACUCUUCGGAGUUAGUGGCGGACGGGUGAGUAACACGUGGGAACGUGCCUUUUGGUUCGGAAUAACUCAGGGAAACUUGUGCUAAUACCGAAUGUGCCCUUCGGGGGAAAGAUUUAUCGCCAUUAGAGCGGCCCGCGUCUGAUUAGCUAGUUGGUGAGGUAACGGCUCACCAAGGCGACGAUCAGUAGCUGGUCUGAGAGGAUGACCAGCCACACUGGGACUGAGACACGGCCCAGACUCCGACGGGAGGCAGCAGUGGGGAAUCUUGCGCAAUGGGCGAAAGCCUGACGCAGCCAUGCCGCGUGAAUGAUGAAGGUCUUAGGAUUGUAAAAUUCUUUCACCGGGGACGAUAAUGACGGUACCCGGAGAAGAAGCCCCGGCUAACUUCG